RNAcentral lists this ribosomal RNA (624 nucleotides) under Staphylococcus aureus. RNAcentral describes it as "bacterial SSU rRNA". It matches the Rfam family "Bacterial small subunit ribosomal RNA", at positions 92 to 703 of the family's 1533-position model. Lineage: Bacteria; Bacillati; Bacillota; Bacilli; Caryophanales; Staphylococcaceae. The record is from RNAcentral.
UUAGCGGCGGACGGGUGAGUAACACGUGGAUAACCUACCUAUAAGACUGGGAUAACUUCGGGAAACCGGAGCUAAUACCGGAUAAUAUUUUGAACCGCAUGGUUCAAAAGUGAAAGACGGUCUUGCUGUCACUUAUAGAUGGAUCCGCGCUGCAUUAGCUAGUUGGUAAGGUAACGGCUUACCAAGGCAACGAUGCAUAGCCGACCUGAGAGGGUGAUCGGCCACACUGGAACUGAGACACGGUCCAGACUCCUACGGGAGGCAGCAGUAGGGAAUCUUCCGCAAUGGGCGAAAGCCUGACGGAGCAACGCCGCGUGAGUGAUGAAGGUCUUCGGAUCGUAAAACUCUGUUAUUAGGGAAGAACAUAUGUGUAAGUAACUGUGCACAUCUUGACGGUACCUAAUCAGAAAGCCACGGCUAACUACGUGCCAGCAGCCGCGGUAAUACGUAGGUGGCAAGCGUUAUCCGGAAUUAUUGGGCGUAAAGCGCGCGUAGGCGGUUUUUUAAGUCUGAUGUGAAAGCCCACGGCUCAACCGUGGAGGGUCAUUGGAAACUGGAAAACUUGAGUGCAGAAGAGGAAAGUGGAAUUCCAUGUGUAGCGGUGAAAUGCGCAGAGAUAUGGAG